AUUGAACGCUGGCGGCAGGCCUAACACAUGCAAGUCGAGCGGAUGAAGGGAGCUUGCUCCUGGAUUCAGCGGCGGACGGGUGAGUAAUGCCUAGGAAUCUGCCUGGUAGUGGGGGAUAACGUCCGGAAACGGGCGCUAAUACCGCAUACGUCCUGAGGGAGAAAGUGGGGGAUCUUCGGACCUCACGCUAUCAGAUGAGCCUAGGUCGGAUUAGCUAGUUGGUGGGGUAAAGGCCUACCAAGGCGACGAUCCGUAACUGGUCUGAGAGGGUGAUCAGUCACACUGGAACUGAGACACGGUCCAGACGCCUACGGGAGGCAGCAGUGGGGAAUAUUGGACAAUGGGCGAAAGCCUGAUCCAGCCAUGCCGCGUGUGUGAAGAAGGUCUUCGGAUUGUAAAGCACUUUAAGUUGGGAGGAAGGGCAGUAAGUUAAUACCUUGCUGUUUUGACGUUACCAACAGAAUAAGCACCGGCUAACUUCGUG
This 484-nucleotide ribosomal RNA is filed under the name uncultured bacterium. RNAcentral describes it as "partial 16S ribosomal RNA". It matches the Rfam family "Bacterial small subunit ribosomal RNA", at positions 30 to 507 of the family's 1533-position model. The record is from RNAcentral.